UGGGCUUUAGCUCAAUAAUCGUCGGACCGACCUCCACUUCCGUCUCCGCCUCCUUAAACCUCUCCACUUUCCGGCCAGAAGAGGAAAAACAGAAACAGGAAAAAAAAGAAGAGACAAGAAUGCAACACAGAGACAAGAUCAGAAUCGCAGUCGCUGUAGUUUCUCUAACAGCACUCUCAAUCCUUUUCAUAGAACUGUAUCGUAGACGCCGAAAGCAAAAGAGCCGUCCCAGUUUAUGCUAUUUACAAUCGGACCAGAAGCCGCAGUUCGGCUUCAAGCGCGUUUUAGCUGAUAACUCUUUUUCUGAGUUCAAGCACUUAAAGCUCCAUAACUCCUCUAACGAUAAUUCUUCAAAUUUGCAUCCUUAUGAAAGGGAGAUCACAGCUUUGAUAGAGAAUUACAGAUUUGAAUUUGAUAUAUAUAGCAACAUGAAGUUGAAGGAAAUGGAUAAUGUAUAUGUUUGGAUUGAGACAGAGUCUCAGUUAAAGGAGUUAGCAGACUUUUUGAGUAAAGAGAAGGUUUUUGCUGUUGAUACCGAGCAGCACAGCUUGCGGUCAUUUCUAGGCUUCACUGCUUUAGUUCAGAUUUCCACCCAGGAGGAGGAUUAUUUGGUGGAUACGAUUGCAUUACAUGAUGCAAUGGGAAUUCUCAGACCGGUUUUUGCUGAUCCUAGUAUUUGCAAGGUGUUCCAUGGAGCUGAUAAUGAUGUUCUUUGGCUACAAAGAGACUUUCAUAUUUAUGUUGUUAAUUUAUUUGAUACUGCAAAGGCAUGUGAGGUGCUGUCAAAACCACAGAAAUCACUAGCAUACUUGCUUGAAACUUACUGUGGCGUAUCUACAAAUAAAUUACUACAGCGUGAAGACUGGAGGCAACGUCCUUUAUCUGCAGAGAUGUUACAAUACGCUCGAACAGAUGCACAUUAUCUAUUGUAUAUUGCGGGUUGUUUAAUUGCUGAGCUCAAACAAGACAAUGAAAAUCCAUCUCAUCCAGACGGCAGUUUAAAUUCUAUUGUUGAGGUUUGUCGCCGCUCAAAUAUGAUUUGUCUACAACUCUACAAUAAAGAGGUUGAAGAUUUUCCUGGAGAAUCUGCAGCAUCAUCAAUUUGUUUUCGUCAUUUGAAUGGUCAAGGAGGUUCAUCGGUUUCAUGUGAGAUGCAGGGUCUUGUGAGACGCUUGUGCACAUGGCGAGAUUUAAUGGCUCGUGUACACGAUGAGAGUUUAAGAUAUGUAUUAUCAGACCAGGCUAUCGUCUCCCUUGCAGACAAGUUUCCAACAAAUCCAAAAGAAAUAUAUGAUACCAUAUCUCAAGCCGAUAUGAAUCUCAAUCCCGUGAAUUUUAAUUUUUCUGUAUCAUCUCCAUCCCCUGUUGUUUGCAGUCAUUUGGAUGAUUUUUGCUUCUUGAUCCAGGACAAGGGAAACAACCCUGAUGAUAUGUUCUCAGCACUUCUUCAAAAAUGCCUUGGUCAGAAAGGGAGUUGUCCGUUGUCUGCUUAUAAUUAUGCAUUAUUGGUUACUCGUGGCCUGAGACAAAAAAAUAGUUCAGUUUCCAAGAAAAAUGGGUUUAAAAAUUCUAAACAGGUUGCUAGGAAGGCCUCACGAGACCUGUUUGUUCAGAAGUUCUCAUGCAAAGCUCCAGUGUAUCAUAACUGUAGGAUCUAUGCAAAUGAUGGUCGAUUGCUUUGUUACUGUGAUCGUAGAAAGCUUGAAUGGUACCUUCAACGGGAGCUGGCAAAACUCAUUGAAGAUGAACCCCCUGCCAUAAUGCUACUUUUUGAACCAAAGGGUCGCCCAGAAGAUGAAGGCAAUGGUUUUUACAUUCAAAGUAAGAAAAAUAUAUGUGUUGGAUGUGGUGAAGGAAAUCAUUACUUGCGAUAUCGAAUAAUUCCUUCAUGCUACAGAAUGCACUUCCCUGAGCAUUUGAAAAGCCAUCGUUCUCAUGAUAUAGUCCUCCUCUGUGUGGACUGCCAUGAAAUUGCUCAUGCUGCUGCUGAGAAACACAAGAGAAAAGUAGUUGCGGAAUUUGGAAUUCCGUUGUUUGUUCGUAAAGUAGUUGAUUCCAAAGAAGCCCCUGUCAUACCUGAUCCAUCUUCUUCGGUGAUGAACGAUGAGGAGGCGGGGGUAUCUCCCUUACAGUUGCGUAUAGCUGCUAUGGCUCUUCUGCGCCACGGAUCAAGAAUGCCACUGGAGCGCCGAGAAGAACUGAUGCAGAUUGUCAAACAAUAUUAUGGAAGAAGGGAGAUAUCUGAGGAAGAUUUAGAAAGAGCUUUGCUUGUUGGCAUGAGUCCUCAUGAGAGAAGACGAUUUGAGAAGAAGAGGGGAUUGUCUUCAAAACAUUCUCUUGGUAAUAUCCUUCCAAAUAACAAGCAGAUGAACAAUGUGGUUUCUGUGGUCAAAUCUACCAUUGAGAACACACCUAAAAUUGAUACUCUAGGUGGUUCUCAAACUACUGAAGAUCAAGACUAUUUCACAACAGCAGUCACUGAUACAACUGUCUGUUCUGAUCUACAAUCUGCUACAAUUUACAAGGACACAAAUUCAGAUGACACCGAAAUUUCUGAUGAAAAAGAAAUUCAUACUGGAAAUGUUGAUGAUAAUUGUGAAGGAAGUCCACCUAAGGAAAUAGUUGACUCAAAUUAUCCUAGACACAACGGAAGUGCUUUGCCUAAAAAUUCGAAGCUAUCUCUGUUAGGACAUGGACCACAUGGAAAGCAAGUUGUGGAUCAUAUACUGAAAGAAUAUGGAGAGGAAGGAAUCCGUGAAUUUUGUCAAAGAUGGAGACAAGUUUUUGUUGAAGCAACUCAUCCUCGUUUCCUACCUGCUGGUUGGGAUAUAAUGCACAGAUACGUUGCCUCAUUAUGCUUUCUACAAUGCUUUCAUGGCAGAAGGGACUUUGGUGAGUUCAGUGUGUACAAUCCAGCCAAGAAAGCAUCUACCGUGAAGACAUAAUGUAUAAACUCCCCAGUUACUGCAUAUGUUCUAUUAUUUUCUUUAGGCUUCGUUUGGCUGGGCUGAGCUAGACUUAGUAAAUUGAAGGCAAGGCAACACAAGUUAUACUAAAGCAGUGUUGUUGGAAUCAGAUCAAACCAGGUGGCUGUCUGGUUCAGAAAUUGGCUCGGUUUUUGAGGAAAAAACUGGGUUUUUUGAAAAAAGUUGGAUUGGACCUUUAAUAAAUAAAAACCAGAAAAGAAGUGGGUUUUGAUGAUGAGUCAGCUGUAAGUCGGUUGGCGAGUCCCUGAUUAUCCCAGUAAGCAAGGGCGAAGCGAAGACUUGAAAGCUGUGGAUAGACGGUUCUUUUUGGCCGAACAAGACUUGAAGACGAAGUCUUCUCCCGAUUGACUAUCUUGUUGGGGAGGCGCUGGAACGCGUUCUUCCAUAACCAAGAUCUUCCCUUUCUCACAGCAUUUUCAGAGCAGGCCGGAGUAAGGAAACUGAAAAACCAGAUUUUUGGUAAAAUAUGAUGUUGAUUUAAAAAAAGGUGGUGUUAUUUUUAUGUA
Molecule: non-coding RNA, 3493 nt
Organism: Jatropha curcas
Lineage: Eukaryota; Viridiplantae; Streptophyta; Magnoliopsida; Malpighiales; Euphorbiaceae
Source: RefSeq, a predicted model, not a curated record